RNAcentral lists this long non-coding RNA (297 nucleotides) under Apteryx rowi (Okarito brown kiwi). RNAcentral describes it as "lncRNA (ENSARWG00000002196.1)". The record is from RNAcentral. Lineage: Eukaryota; Metazoa; Chordata; Aves; Apterygiformes; Apterygidae.
CGUUUUGCCGUGUCGGAGAGAUCGUAUCUGAACGUCAGAAAAAUCCAGCUCUGAGUUCCUGAGGAGCCAGUCCUGUAACUUCCUGCGUGUGUCCGUGUUUCUGUGGAGAUGGAGGCACUGCCUAAAAUUUGCAGACCUUUUUUCAGUAUUCCUCCUGACUGUGGCCUUUUCCAAGUUUUACAUAUUUACCUCUUCUGUGUGAGUGGAAAAAUGUUAAAAAGGCUGUUGAAGAAUUGAAGUCUAGUCUAUUCUUAAUGAGAGAAUAAAAUGGGGAAGUUCUAGAACCCUGAGGAUAAU